UCCUUAAUUAUAUUGGCCAUACGUACUAGAUAUAAUAAUAUGAUGAUGCCCUCUACCUAUUAAUAUAAACCCCACAGCCACAGGGGAAUAAGACACUGAUCCCGAAUCACUCUCAUUGUCUGAAACUAAAUCAAACCUUCACGAGAUGAUAGUACCAAAGACAUGAUGAUGUCUUCUUGGUGCUUGGCAGUUGGCACCCUAAUGUAUAUUUUCCCUGCCCUGUCAAAU
This 228-nucleotide long non-coding RNA is filed under the name Panax ginseng (ginseng). RNAcentral's name for it is "long non-coding RNA (PGIN_LNC013731)". Lineage: Eukaryota; Viridiplantae; Streptophyta; Magnoliopsida; Apiales; Araliaceae. The record is from RNAcentral.